CCAGGAGAAGGAAGGCCUUGCCCAGCAAAGCUGAGGAAGACCACUACACAGAACUCCAGCCCUAUGAGAACUUGGAUAAUUACUGUGUGAUCAAGGAGGCUCUUCGGACAGAGGAAGAUGCAGGUAAAGGUGGCCAGGAUGGAGAUCCAUUGCCC
This is a long non-coding RNA of Colius striatus (speckled mousebird), 155 nucleotides long. RefSeq lists it as uncharacterized. The record is from RefSeq and is a predicted model, not a curated record. NCBI's taxonomy places the organism in Eukaryota, Metazoa, Chordata, Aves, Coliiformes, Coliidae. The transcript is spliced from 3 exons.